ACCAGCUUCCCCCCCCAGCGCAGAGAGCAGCAGCUGAUUAAUGGGAGGGAAGGUUGUCUUCUCCGAGAAAGAAGCCUUUUGCUAGGUAAGCUCAGGAGAACUCUCAUAAAUGAGCAGGAAAAACCUCAUUUGUAGGUGACCUGAAACCUACGCAGGAAAGAGAGGUUAGAUUUCUUGCCUCGGUAGAUAAAUAACUUAUAACUUCAGUGGGCUCUAGUUUAGUCCUUAGUCUGUAUUUAGCUCAGUUAAUAGAACUGGAAAGGUCUCGUAAACCCAAUCACAACUAAAUUCUAGAAAGAUCUCUGCAGUAACUGUAAACACUCAUUUCAAACAGUGUGCAAUCAGCAAAUUUGUCAUAUUGUUCAUUAAAUUUUAUGAAAUCUCUCUACCAUAAUGCCCUGCACCAAGUAAGUAAAAUGCUGACCUCCCAAACCAGGACAUUCUUCAAAUAUUUCCCAUCUUGCAUUUUUUGUUAAAUACUUCACACUUGUAAAAAUGUCAUGGUAUAAGAAAAAAAGCCUUUUCUUCAUCUAAAUAUCUAAUCUAAACAAUUAGUUUGUGAUGAGCAGGAGUUUUGUGUUUGGUUAUUUCUUCCUGGAGGAAGAAUCAAUAGAUUGUAUUGUUGCUAUUCUCAAACUAGUUUUGCUAAUAAAUAUUGAAUUAUUCCUCCUCUCCUGCUUUUUUGCAAACCUGUCAGAGAUUAAAUAGAUAUACAGGAGAUGGCAGAAGCAGCACACAAAAUUUGGAUGGUGUGCUUGGCACCUUUUAAAACACUUGGUGGAGCAGAUGAGAGUUUAAAGAGAGCAGUCUAAUUAGUAUUAGUCAGGGACAGAUGCAGAAGAACUUUGAAAACUGGAAAGAGAGGAAAUCAUUAGGAAAUUUGGGCUAUAGAAAUGGAAUUCUAACUCUCAGCUAGGCAAAAUUCCUCAUGGAAGCCAAGGAAGCCAAAGUCUGCAUUGUAGUAUGCACAAAGUUUUAAUGUUCACUUGUGAAGACACCCCAAAUGUCAUCUCUCUCUCCAAACCUAAUGGUAACAACCUCUUUUAGAAUGAUGAGACUUUGAACACAACAGCAAUGGAAAUGGUUUCAAAUAGUGAUAAGAUGUUAUUUUUAAAACACUGACAGAAUGCCUCAUAGCAGAGGAGAUAAUUUAGGACAAAGAAAUCCAUCGGGGUUUUGACAGAUAAUGAACCAAAAUCCAUAUCUAAACAAAGAAAAUAUCUAAGGAUGUAUAGGAGAUGGUAAGAAGCUCGUGCAAAGAUGGAAGGGGGGAGUUCAGGCAAAGUCCAUGGUGAUGUUCUAAGUAGGUAAGAGAUGGCAGUUAAGGAUAAUAAGGCAACAUUCAAACCUAAUGUAUUAUGCAAAAAGGGUCCGGUGGAAGAAAUUCAUAGCAAGUUCAUGGUCAUAGCAAAAAAAUGGACUAUUAUGUGAACGUUUAAAAUGAUUUAAGUAUAUGCAAUUUUAUUGCAAGUUAAAACAUGAGUGUUUGUGUAAAAAGGCUAUAUAUUGCCAACACUUUUACCUGGCUAACUUAGAUCUCCUCCAAGGCUUUUGAACGGUGGAGUUCAACAGUGCAUGUGGAAAACUUUUAUUUCUUGAAUACCAGAGCCAACACAAUUUUAUUCAGAAACAUUUGCUUCCUUUCUUUCAUUGUAAGAGAAAGUAAGAAACUUCUCCAUCUUUUCUGUUAUUUCCCUGGUAUUUAUGUUCAGGUUUCAUAAGGAAACCAAUUUGUUUGUUGAUGGAUUUGGUGUGCGCUUCAAUUCUUUGUCAUCAGUCAAUGAGUCAGUAACCAGUAAAUAUAUUUUGACUGAAAAGUCCUGGUUUCUUUCAAGAAUUCUGCUAAUAGCUCCUGCAGAACUAGCCAGGUAACUAUAUUAUUUCACAGGACAGUGGGUCGUCAUUGAAAUGAACCUUUGAAACUCCUGUUGAAUUCUGUUGACUCAAAUUGGUUUCAGAGGCCAUACUAUUGUGCAAAACCUAUUCUCUGCCUUCAAGUUUGCUUUUUCCCUGAAGACCUUCCAGAGAAGCACCUUUGCUUCUGAUCUGAAACCUAUGCUACCCUCCAACUUCGUCUAUUAUCUUCUCUUUUGUGCUGUUAGUUGCUUUGGAAGUUAAAAAAAGAAACUGAUCUCUUGAUAGGGUUUUGACAAAAGAUAUCUAUCUUGUGUUAAGAGGCUUAACUUGGUGUGUUUGGUUUGUUGAAUUGAAAGCUGUUUAAAAGGUAGUGAUGGUAUCCUUACAAAAUACUUAUGAGACUGGGAUGCCUUGAUGCCAAGUAUUUUGACAGGACACUUUGUGAUGCUUAGGUAAUUUUUUAUAAGGAACACUGAAGUCCUGCUCUUGUUUCAAAGACACAACAGAUUUAAAGGCAAUCAAUGAAGUUUAACCAGAAAAAUAAAGUGCCUCAAAUGUAUUGGGGCACCAAUACAGAGAACCAGUGUUCUGGUUUAACCUGGCCAGCAGCUAAAACAACCACACAGCUGUUUGCUCACUUCCCCCCCACCCAUAAAAAAAGAGUAUGCUUAAGGGGCAGUUUCAUGCUUAUUCAUGCAGUGUGUUUCCCUCUCUAUCCAUCCGCUUAGGUAUGGUAGAACAAUUGGUUAGCACAAAAAUUGUUGUAUUUCAGAAUGCUUAUUUUUGGCAUUAAAAGCGUUAAUACUGUCUUGAUUCUUGCUGAAGUUGGUGGCUUUCUGUGACUCGUGAUUUUGUCAAAGCAGAAAUAACAUGGAUUAAUUCUCUUAUCUAAUCUGACAGUCAACAGCUCUCUUUCUUUGUUCCACCAGCCACUGCAGUCCUUGGUCUUGCUCAUAAAUCUUUUGUUCCUGAACACAUAUCUGUUUUACAGGCAUUGUUUUUCAGCAGGUAUCUGCAAGGGCUCUGUUGUCGCUGAAACUUCAUCUCUUCUCUGCUGUUCCUUCAAAUACCCAUUCUUCUUCAGCUCUAUCCCUAUUUUUCAGAACACAUGGAAACUGAAGACAUUUCAGAUCAUAGCCUAAGUGAGGGACCUGAGCUCCUUCUGUGAUCAACAGAGAGAAAAGAGCAUCUGAGAGGUGUUCAUGUUUGACUGGAAUGUUUAGUCAUCACUUCCUCAGAUGCUUCUCCCAGCUGAAAGAAACCUCAGGUGGACCAUUCAAACGAUUUUGAAACUGAACUGCAUCUAUUUUCUUGUAAUGUCAGUCCAUCAGAAAUUAUAGACCAAAACCUAGCUUCCUGCCAAGAGCUGAGAAGAUUUCACAAUGGAUGUAGAAGAUAGAAAUGCCUCAAGCAAGUAUUUUGGGUGGUUUUCUUUUCCUCUCCCAUGGUUACAAAGAACUAUACAAUAUCCAAUGGAGAGAAAUUACUCUUUUUAUUAUAUUUAGUAGGAUAUAUUUUAGUAACAAUUAUUCUUAAACCUACCUGCAUAUUUUCUUAAUUUUAAUAACUUCUGUUGAGGUGUAUAUGGUAUGUGGCAAAAUAGGUAAUUAUGAAUUUGUGAUGAAUUUAAAUGGUUGCAGUUCAAUUCCUUAACUUUCAGCACUCCCAUGAGCAGAAUGCUGUACUCACAAUCUCCUGCAGGUACAGCAUGCCAGGACAGCUUGAUUUACACACUGUAAUGGUUCAGAUGACAGCAGGCUUGAAAGAACUAAAUUUUAAAGACAGAUAUUGCAGGUAAACCCAAACAUGCUGAUACUUAAUCAAACUUGGUCUGACUAUAUUAAUACUUCGUUUUUAAAUUCCAAGACUUACAAUCCCGUAUGGCUAGAAGGAUAGGGAGUUUGUUUUGGACAAACUAAAAGGAUAUAGCCUAGGUCAUGCCAAAGUUGUCAGCAACACCAUUUGUGUCCAUAUCAUAAUAAAGAUGAAGAUUUACUUAUUGCAAGUGAAUAAGUCGUCAACUCAUACUCUGAGCCAGGCAGGUGGAGAGCUUUUGAAGGGUCUGUCUUAGGCCUUCCCUACUUACGUAACAGAUCCCCUUGAGAGAUGCAAAGGCUUUUCUAAUUUCAAAACUCAGAUGAAGUAACUCAUUUGAGUCAUGAAUUAAUAGAGGUCACUUUACCUACAACUUUACCUACAACUUUACAAACAGGUCCUGCUGCAAAAAGGGAUAAUGAGCAACGCACUGUUGUCCUGCCUGUGCUUUGUAAGAAGGAAGAAGAACACACAGAAAAUGCAGAGCCGUGAGCAACAGUAGCUCUGAGAGUCGUAGUUAAGUUGAGCCCCUUCUGCUAGACUACCUCUUCAAAUGAAGUGUUCCCAUUUAAUGUUCCUCGACAACAGCUGUCUGCUGGAGAUUGGCCUUAGCUUGCUUCGAAACAUUUGUGACUGUGAGACUGGAGAAACUUGGGAUUCAUGCAGGGGUUUUUUUUUGCUAGGCUGGGCCCCUGUUGCUCUAUCUCUUUUUGUCUAAAUGCUGUCUACAUCAGUAACAGCUUCCACUGGAUGAAGUUCACAGCAUGCAGUUGAUUUCUUAGUACCUAAGUGAUUCUAGAGACUGGCAUACUGUAUUUCCUUUAAUAAAAUUUAAUUUUCAUAGGCAAUGAAACUAUGUAGAUAAAAUGAAGGGAUCUCAUAGGCGUAGAAACUAUGUAGAUAAAAAGAAGGAAUCACUUCUAAAAACUUUUAAGAUAUGUCCUAAUGGAAAGAUUAAAUUAUACUAAUUUCCACUUUGCCUCAGCCCAAGUUCCCCAAAGGGACUUAUUUAUCUGAUUGCUAUAGCAGGAUUAAAAGCCGUCCCUGCGUGCCUCCAGCCUGUCGCAGGAGCAGAGUUCAGAAGAUUGCGUGUGGAGAAGACUGGAAUUAGCCAAGACAGGAAAUUUAAAGGACAGUCUGUCUGGGACAUUUAUUGACCAGUCACCUGCUGAUAGAAGGUGCCUUCUGCAAUCUGGAUUUAUAGUGCUGAAAAUAUCUUCUCUUUCAUAAAGAUCUAAAACUUGUGGGGUUGGUUUUUGGUUUUUGGUUUUUUUUUUUCAAAAUACAUCAGAGUUACCCUCUCCUCUAGUAAUAUAUAAGUGGCCUAGUAUAUAAAACCAUCAUCAGGAAGUGAGAAGAUUUCUCUGCUUGGACCAAAAGCAUCCAAGCCCACUUUUCCCACUUUCCAGUUACAGCCGUUGCUGUGGGGAGAGCAGUCAGUUGCAGGAGACAGAGCUUGCUGCUGAAGCCCUGCCACUUCUUCCUACGUGGACCCAGCAUCUGUCAGGAAGGACUAGCACUACAGAAAGAAUUCGGAAGUCAGAGACUCAGUUUAUAGGCAGGACAAUUGCAUUCUAGGCAUUUUUGCUGGAGAACAGGCUUGGCAUGUGUUUGAGGAGAGGUGAGGGCAGUGGUGGCUCAGGGUGCAGACAAGGGCAUCUGCUGCAGACCCUGGUCCAGCCCAGCUCCUCCAGCCCCACUGCAUCACUUACCCUGACGCACUCAUGGCAGCAGAACCACCCUUAUGGCACCCUAUUGCUUUCCUCCCAAAGGAAACAGUCCCGCCCUCGCCAAGAGGUCCCAAAGGCCCGAGAAGAGAGUUUGAGCUUGUUCCUGGUGGGAAAGGACUGCUAGAAGAAGAAGGGAGACUGCUGUUCUUACACCCUGGAAGAGCACAAAACAAGGAAGUUGAUGAGUAAAGGAGGGAAUAAAGAGCAUUCCUUGCCUUUGUUUCUCCCCCAAACACAUCCUUAAUCUGCUACAGAACCUUCUCUAAAACUAUCUGGACUCCCCUUUCCUACCCAGACCUCUGGAGAUGCCCGGACCCUUCUGACUCCUGCCUCUUGCUCAGCAACCCAUGCAGGUGUCCUCUGCCAUCCUGCUUUUAAGAGAGCCAUCUGCCCAGCCACUUCUCCCCCUCCUCACCCAAAACUGCUCAAAACAUCCUCUACCUCUCUCAGCCCUCUCUUUGCCCACCCACAUAAAAAUAUGCUCUUUCCAGUGCUCCUCCUUCCUCCAGUCCUGUUAUCUUCUCAAGAUAAACGAAUAACAAUUGUAGAUUUAGUCAUUUUCAAACUAAGAAGUGACUUCGUAGCAUAUAUAUGCAAAACUUAACUUUAACCAUCCUUCAUAUGAUUUACAAAUGGUAUUUAAGUUUUUGUUUUGUUUUAUAAAUCCUGAUAUAGGCUUAUUUUGUAUUCCAUUCAGAAAAAGACUCAUAAAAAUGUAAAGUGACUAAAAAAGAAGACAAAAGUAUGAAAUUAAUUGAGAAAUACAUGCAAAGAAACACUUAUGGGUGAAGCCCUCAGUGUUAUAUUAUUUUUUGUGUUGAACCAGUAAUGAACUUGAAAGUCAGUUUAAACUAAUUCUAAUUGAAUUUCUAUUGUGAUGCAGUUGUCAAUAGAAUAAUAGCACACAUCAGUGGGCUGUAGCUAUUUUUUUCUUUGAUCCCUAUUUCCUUCUCUUUGGCAUUUUAUAAAACAGACGUUUUUUCCUAAAAGACUCAGAACCCAUUGAUUUUUAAAGUUACCUAAGGAAUUCUGUCUUGUGAGGUGCAAAAUGAACAGGGAAAAUCACAAAAUGUGGUAAAAGCCCCCAUGGAGCCCUCUCUAAUUAACUGUGCGUUCCUGAAUGAUCCCCAGGAGUGGAGAAAGGCACUUAAACGAGGCAACAGUUUCUAUGGAAAUGAAAAAUGACCACACUAUGAAACUUCCUACAAAAAAUAGUUAGGCUGGUUGUAUGAAUUUUGUUGUGUUUGGUACAACUUUCCAGAUGCAAAACUUUUCAACUUUCAACUCUAAUAAUGACAUGGAGUGCUGUUAGUCAAAUUAAUAUAAUCUAUUUGUGCGGCUUUAUUAUCUUAACUUGUAAAAGACAGGUGGAUCGUGCUUGUCCAUUUGUGUGUGUGACCAUGGUCAGCUAAUGGUAUUUAUACAUCUUGCUGCCUUUUUGCAUAUAGUGCUGUUUAGUUAUCAUUUGAGUUAUUUUCUGUUUUACUUGUCUAUUGAUCAAUA
This is a long non-coding RNA of Grus americana (Whooping crane), 6905 nucleotides long. RefSeq lists it as uncharacterized. The record is from RefSeq and is a predicted model, not a curated record. The transcript has 5 exons. Lineage: Eukaryota; Metazoa; Chordata; Aves; Gruiformes; Gruidae.